This 439-nucleotide ribosomal RNA is filed under the name uncultured bacterium. Its description in RNAcentral is "partial 16S ribosomal RNA". It matches the Rfam family "Bacterial small subunit ribosomal RNA", at positions 339 to 795 of the family's 1533-position model. The record is from RNAcentral.
CUACGGGCUGCUCCAGUCGAGAAUCUUGGGCAAUGCGCGAAAGCGUGACCCAGCAAUGCCGCGUGUGCGAUGAAGGCCCUCGGGUCGUAAAGCACUGUCUCCCGUGACGAUAAUGACGGUAGCGGGGAAGGAAGCCACGGCUAACUACGUGCCAGCAGCCGCGGUAAUACGUAGGUGGCGAGCGUUGUUCGGAUUUAUUGGGCGUAAAGGGUCUGUAGGAGGUUUGCUAAAAUUGGGGUGAAAUCCCGAAGCUCAACUUCGGAACUGCCCCGGUGACUGGUGAACUAGAGUAUUGGAGAGGUAAGCGGAAUACCAGGUGUAGCGGUGGAAUGCGUAGAUAUCUGGUAGAACACCAAUAGCGAAGGCAGCUUGCUGGACAAUAACUGACUCUGAAAGACGAAAGCGUGGGGAUCAAACAGGAUUAGAUACCCUCGUAGUC